This 1276-nucleotide long non-coding RNA is filed under the name Marmota monax (woodchuck). Lineage: Eukaryota; Metazoa; Chordata; Mammalia; Rodentia; Sciuridae. The record is from RNAcentral.
AACUAACAGAGCUUUAAAAGCUGUGUUAUCUUACUGAAUUUUCACCACGGAAAUUUGUUUUGAGCAUUGCCAUUGAUGUGAUGCAACCAUGUUCUUAAUCUUUCCUUCUGUUUGUGUGUGGCCAUUUCUCUCAAAAAUAGUUGCCUGAAGCUCUGCAUAUUUCCCAACUCAAAUUCCUGAUGAUCAUCAUCUGUUCUGGGAUGUGUGCCUAUAGCUGCUAUCUUUGGAAGGGUCUGCUUGCAAGGCUGGCUGUGAUAAGAGUGGUUCUGUGGGCUAGACUGUUUGCACAAGCAAAGUGAUUUAUGCUAAACACUCAUUUUCCUUCUCAGAGCCUGGAAUUUUGGCACAUGCAAGGCAGAGAGCGGAUAUGACUAGGCCCCAAUAAAAAUGUUGAACGUUGAAUCUCUGGUGGGACUUCCUGGGCAGAAGCAUUGUACACAUGUGACUGCAUUAAAAAAAAAAAAAACUCUUUUGUAGUUGUAGAAUACCUUUAUUUGUUUAUUUUCAUGUGAUGCUGAGGAUUGAACCCAGUGCCUCACACAUGCUAGGCAAGCACUCUGCCACUGACCUAUAGCCUUAGCCAGCGACUGCAUUUUCAUUGCUGGAGAAAGUAGCACACCUGAGUGCAUCCCUUCAUGGAAGAAAAGUGUGGAGCCUGUGCAUGGAUCUCUAGACUCUGUUUGAGGAUCGAACCUAGGGUCUUGCACGUGCUAGACCUCAUUAUGCUAGGUCUCAUUAUAACCUGACUAUGUAUAAUUGCAUUAAAUCACUGUAAUAGAUCUUAGCCAUGAGUCCCACUAUACGCCAAGUCCUGGGAAUCCUAGAAAAUCUCUGAAUAUGGGCGUGAUCUUAGGGAUCCUGACACAGGCCACUUAAAUUAGUUAAUCCAAUUAAUUGCAUUUGGGGGAGAGAGUACCCUCAUACUUUACCUGGCUACCCCGAGAUUUUACAAUCUGGUCCAGAACAGAUCUCAACUCUGGUUACAAAACAGAAUCUUCUCAGAAUCUUUAAUAAUUGGACCCCCAUCCAAGAGUAAUUAGUAACUCGGAGUUGGAAUCUCUGGGGGUGAGCCGUACAGAGAUUCUAACCUGCAGCCAGAGUUGGGACCAAUGGUCUUGAUUGAUUUUCUUCUAUAGUCUCUUUUAGAAGGAGAUUGUGACUUCGGGAGGCAUCAUGAUCUACCCAGCCAGUACAAUGCACAUUUUUCAGAUGAAAUAAGGAACCUGUGUCUUUUGGAACACUGCAAAAAUAGUGAUAUUGCUUAGUUGUGCUUGUA